GAUCUUGUAGUCAUUUUAUGAUAUUAAAUUGCAAGUUUAAUGGUAAACAAAAUUUCUUGAUCU
RNAcentral lists this transfer RNA (63 nucleotides) under Pityophthorus pubescens. Its description in RNAcentral is "tRNA-Cys". Lineage: Eukaryota; Metazoa; Arthropoda; Insecta; Coleoptera; Curculionidae. The record is from RNAcentral.